GUGGCUAUGGUGUAAUGGCAGCACAAGGGUUUGUGGAGCCCUUAGAGGCAGUUCAAAUCUGCUUAGCCACCCA
RNAcentral lists this transfer RNA (73 nucleotides) under Candidatus Nealsonbacteria bacterium CG18_big_fil_WC_8_21_14_2_50_37_10. RNAcentral's name for it is "tRNA-His". It matches the Rfam family "tRNA". Rfam says of the family: Transfer RNA (tRNA) molecules are approximately 80 nucleotides in length. Their secondary structure includes four short double-helical elements and three loops (D, anti-codon, and T loops). Further hydrogen bonds mediate the characteristic L-shaped molecular structure. tRNAs have two regions of fundamental functional importance: the anti-codon, which is responsible for specific mRNA codon recognition, and the 3' end, to which the tRNAs corresponding amino acid is attached (by aminoacyl-tRNA synthetases). tRNAs cope with the degeneracy of the genetic code in two manners: having more than one tRNA (with a specific anti-codon) for a particular amino acid; and 'wobble' base-pairing, i.e. permitting non-standard base-pairing at the 3rd anti-codon position. The record is from RNAcentral. Lineage: Bacteria; Candidatus Nealsoniibacteriota.